Molecule: long non-coding RNA, 368 nt
Organism: Stegostoma tigrinum
Lineage: Eukaryota; Metazoa; Chordata; Chondrichthyes; Orectolobiformes; Stegostomatidae
Exons: 3
Source: RefSeq, a predicted model, not a curated record
UAUCAACCCUCCAACAGUGCACUAUUUCCUUAAUAUUGGACCUCUGAUUGUGCGAUACUCCCUCAGUACGAAACAUGACAAUGCAGCAGUCCCUCAGAAAUAACUCUCUGGCAGGCUGUUGAGGAUCGGAUCAAGCAGUUGCAAGAAGUAUACUGGGAUUUUGGUCCUUCAUCACAACACUUCCUUUUGAUGGAUCUGUUGGAGUUGCACACAGCACAACGCGUCUUUGAUCAACACAAAUUGACACAGAACGAACAACUUCUAAAUGUGACUGAAGUACUCAACUGUUUAACGUCCAUUUAUGAUGGUUUGGAACAAAAUCACAAGGACUUGGUCAAUGUGCCACUCUGUGUCGACGUGUAUCUGAA